AGUUUGAUCAUGGCUCAGGAUGAACGCUAGCGGGAGGCUUAAUACAUGCAAGUCGAGCGGUAGGUUUAGCUUCGGUUGGACUGAGAGCGGCGCACGGGUGAGUAACGCGUACGCAACUUACCCCUGAUUGGGGAAUAGCCCCGGGAAACUGGGAUUAAUGCCCCAUGGUUUUACCAUCAGGCAUCUGGCGGUAAAUAAAGUUGAGGCGAUCAGGGAUAGGCGUGCGUCUGAUUAGCUAGUUGGCAGGGUAACGGCCUACCAAGGCGACGAUCAGUAGGGGGCGGGAGAGCGUGAUCCCCCACACGGGUACUGAGACACGGACCCGACUCCUACGGGAGGCAGCAGUAAGGAAUAUUGGACAAUGGGCGGAAGCCUGAUCCAGCCAUCCCGCGUGCAGGAUGAAGGCCCUAUGGGUUGUAAACUGCUUUUAUUGGGGAAGAAAUCUGGUUAUUCAUAAUCAGUUGACGGUACUCAAGGAAUAAGCACCGGCUAACUCCGUGCCAGCAGCCGCGGUAAUACGGAGGGUGCAAGCGUUAUCCGGAAUUACUGGGUUUAAAGGGUGCGUAGGCGGCCUGUCAAGUCAGGGGUGAAAUGUCUUCGCUUAACGAAGAAAUUGCCUUUGAUACUGUCGGGCUUGAAACAGGUUGAGGUUGGCGGAAUGUGGCAUGUAGCGGUGAAAUGCAUAGAUAUGCCAUAGAACACCGAUUGCGAAGGCAGCUGGCUGGACCUGGAUUGACGCUGAGGCACGAAAGCGUGGGGAGCAAACAGGAUU
Molecule: ribosomal RNA, 772 nt
Filed under: uncultured bacterium
Lineage: Bacteria
Description: bacterial SSU rRNA
Rfam family: Bacterial small subunit ribosomal RNA
Source: RNAcentral